GUCUACGGGCAUAUCCCCCUGAACGUGCCCGAUCUUGUCUGAUCUCAGAAGCUAAGCAGGACCUAAUUAGUACAUGGAUGGGAAAACAAGGGCAAAGUUUAAAGAUA
This 107-nucleotide ribosomal RNA is filed under the name Octodon degus (degu). The record is from RNAcentral. Lineage: Eukaryota; Metazoa; Chordata; Mammalia; Rodentia; Octodontidae.